UGGCCAAUCAGGAUUUGGUUCGGGUGCUGGCCAAUCAGGAUUUGGUUCAGGUGCUGGCCAAUCAGGAUUUGGUUCGGGUGCUGGCCAAUCAGGAUUUGGUUCAGGUGCGGGCCAAUCAGGGUUCGGUUCCAGUGCUGGCCAAUCCGGAUUUGGUUCAGGUGCUGGCCAAUCAGGAAUUGGUGCUGGCUCUGCUCAGACUCCAAGCUUAACCUAUGGCUUACCUUAGACUUAAUCCAUCCUCAUACUGAGUGAAGUCAUGUUGCACAUCAUGCAGUGAAAAUGUGGUGGCCAUACCUUUGCAAAGGUAGCAGUUUAAUGAACACUGCUUCCUUGCAGGGUGAAAAAUACGCUUAGAAUUAAACUGGUUAUUUAAUUAUAAGUUUAGAUUAUAUCAAAAUAUAGUUGUUAAGAAAAACGUAAA
RNAcentral lists this unclassified non-coding RNA (421 nucleotides) under Penaeus monodon (black tiger shrimp). Its description in RNAcentral is "uncharacterized LOC119580953, transcript variant X2". The record is from RNAcentral. Lineage: Eukaryota; Metazoa; Arthropoda; Malacostraca; Decapoda; Penaeidae.